This 407-nucleotide long non-coding RNA is filed under the name Homo sapiens (human). RNAcentral describes it as "non-protein coding lnc-ZNF705D-2:41". The record is from RNAcentral. Lineage: Eukaryota; Metazoa; Chordata; Mammalia; Primates; Hominidae.
AAUCAACGGUUUCUGGGUCUGAGAUGUUGCAUACACCUUCUCAGUCCCUGUAUCCUGAGAUGGAGUCACCUGAGAAUCCACAGCAAGUCCUAACCAGGGAUGGGUCUGGGUGAUUAAGGAAGGUUGGCUUCAGAACUGGGCCAGGGGCACUGCUUUGCUUUUGCUGUUUUGAUCAGCUCUCUGCCUGAAGGAGACAAGAAAAACCAACGGGAACAGCCCAGUAAAGGCGCCAUUCCCCAUUUUACAGCUGGGGAAACUGAGUUACAGAGCUUGUCUGCACUGAGUCAUCAGGAGCAAAUGCUAGAUCAGACCAACAGGUAUUCUACCAUAUAAGAAAUAUGAUGUUCUCUGUACAUUGAAGAGUUGGUCUAAUAUUUGGCCUGGUGGAUGGAGAAAUUGCCUGUCUG